GAUUCUUAACCACUGCGCCACCAGGGAACUCUCACGCUUUUCUAUGUAUGGGAAGAUGCAUGAGUCUGGGCUCACUGAAAUCAUUCUUUUGAUACGCACCUCAGCUAUCUGAGGCCAGUAUCCUCAUAUCCUGAGUUUCCUCAGGGCUCACCGUGGGGAGUGGCUGCAAUCUGAUGGCUGCUAGAUGUCAGGUA
Long non-coding RNA from Aethalodelphis obliquidens (Pacific white-sided dolphin), 194 nucleotides. RefSeq lists it as uncharacterized. The transcript has 3 exons. NCBI's taxonomy places the organism in Eukaryota, Metazoa, Chordata, Mammalia, Artiodactyla, Delphinidae. The record is from RefSeq and is a predicted model, not a curated record.